RNAcentral lists this ribosomal RNA (1424 nucleotides) under Pediococcus pentosaceus. RNAcentral describes it as "bacterial SSU rRNA". It matches the Rfam family "Bacterial small subunit ribosomal RNA". Lineage: Bacteria; Bacillati; Bacillota; Bacilli; Lactobacillales; Lactobacillaceae. The record is from RNAcentral.
UGCAGUCGAACGAACUUCCGUUAAUUGAUUAUGACGUACUUGUACUGAUUGAGAUUUUAACACGAAGUGAGUGGCGAACGGGUGAGUAACACGUGGGUAACCUGCCCAGAAGUAGGGGAUAACACCUGGAAACAGAUGCUAAUACCGUAUAACAGAGAAAACCGCAUGGUUUUCUUUUAAAAGAUGGCUCUGCUAUCACUUCUGGAUGGACCCGCGGCGUAUUAGCUAGUUGGUGAGGUAAAGGCUCACCAAGGCAGUGAUACGUAGCCGACCUGAGAGGGUAAUCGGCCACAUUGGGACUGAGACACGGCCCAGACUCCUACGGGAGGCAGCAGUAGGGAAUCUUCCACAAUGGACGCAAGUCUGAUGGAGCAACGCCGCGUGAGUGAAGAAGGGUUUCGGCUCGUAAAGCUCUGUUGUUAAAGAAGAACGUGGGUAAGAGUAACUGUUUACCCAGUGACGGUAUUUAACCAGAAAGCCACGGCUAACUACGUGCCAGCAGCCGCGGUAAUACGUAGGUGGCAAGCGUUAUCCGGAUUUAUUGGGCGUAAAGCGAGCGCAGGCGGUCUUUUAAGUCUAAUGUGAAAGCCUUCGGCUCAACCGAAGAAGUGCAUUGGAAACUGGGAGACUUGAGUGCAGAAGAGGACAGUGGAACUCCAUGUGUAGCGGUGAAAUGCGUAGAUAUAUGGAAGAACACCAGUGGCGAAGGCGGCUGUCUGGUCUGCAACUGACGCUGAGGCUCGAAAGCAUGGGUAGCGAACAGGAUUAGAUACCCUGGUAGUCCAUGCCGUAAACGAUGAUUACUAAGUGUUGGAGGGUUUCCGCCCUUCAGUGCUGCAGCUAACGCAUUAAGUAAUCCGCCUGGGGAGUACGACCGCAAGGUUGAAACUCAAAAGAAUUGACGGGGGCCCGCACAAGCGGUGGAGCAUGUGGUUUAAUUCGAAGCUACGCGAAGAACCUUACCAGGUCUUGACAUCUUCUGACAGUCUAAGAGAUUAGAGGUUCCCUUCGGGGACAGAAUGACAGGUGGUGCAUGGUUGUCGUCAGCUCGUGUCGUGAGAUGUUGGGUUAAGUCCCGCAACGAGCGCAACCCUUAUUACUAGUUGCCAGCAUUAAGUUGGGCACUCUAGUGAGACUGCCGGUGACAAACCGGAGGAAGGUGGGGACGACGUCAAAUCAUCAUGCCCCUUAUGACCUGGGCUACACACGUGCUACAAUGGAUGGUACAACGAGUCGCGAGACCGCGAGGUUAAGCUAAUCUCUUAAAACCAUUCUCAGUUCGGACUGUAGGCUGCAACUCGCCUACACGAAGUCGGAAUCGCUAGUAAUCGCGGAUCAGCAUGCCGCGGUGAAUACGUUCCCGGGCCUUGUACACACCGCCCGUCACACCAUGAGAGUUUGUAACACCCAAAGCCGGUGGGGUA